Solanum lycopersicum (tomato) is the source of this 396-nucleotide long non-coding RNA. RefSeq lists it as uncharacterized. The record is from RefSeq and is a predicted model, not a curated record. NCBI's taxonomy places the organism in Eukaryota, Viridiplantae, Streptophyta, Magnoliopsida, Solanales, Solanaceae.
UCUGUCUUUCUUAUCUCUCUUCUCUCACCUUUCAAAGAGAAUCAAUUUCUAUGAGAUUUCAUCAGUUCACUCCUUAAUUGAAAUCAAAUUUCUACUGCUCGAAUGCAAUGGCCAUACAAUGCAAAUUAUGUGAUUGAUGCCUUUUGACUAAGUGAGGGCUUUUUAGUAUAUCAACGAAUAAACAUUGCUGAUUAGAUAGGGCGUCAUCCAUGGCCCAGUGUGCGAAGUACCAGCCACAGAAUCUGAAAUACCUCGAAAAUGUUUGAAAUGAAUAUCAAUGAGUACCAUGGAUGGAAAGACAAUCUAAUGUUUUUGUCAAAUAAAUUAACGCUAAAAUAUGAGUGUGCAUGUAUAUUACUUCAUCAUGGUUAAAUAUUAUGUAUUCUUAUUAUAUUU